GAUGAACAAAUUUGUGGUCAUCAAGCCAACCAAGAAGAAUCAUCUUCCAUUGAAAAAACGGACCGAACUCAAGAUUUGAGGAUAAAUCUUUUUGAAAAGGAAGGGAAUGAUGUGCCCCGGUUCGUGGAUCAGUCCAUUGGAGCCAACCAGCAUAGAGAUAAGGACGUUCUGAACAAUUUGACCGAUUGUAAAAAUCUAAUCUCGAUGAAUUAAGAUCGAGGAGCAUGACAAAACUAAAAAGUGCAGUCCAGUUGUAAGACCUAUUAGAUGCAACAAGAAUGUUAGUUUCCCGUACAAGACCAGGUCGUGAGAGUGAUAGUGAUCCAGAAGACCUUGAACAUGCUGAGAAGCUUCGCCAAAUUAAAGCAGUUCUUGAAGAGGGAGAAAAUUUCUCAUGGAUAUACAGGAAGGUUCAACUGAAGCCGCUGAAGUGGGAUGGUGAAGGCGAAGAAGAAAAACCUGUAGAGGCCCUUAUGAUUCUUCAAUACGGUGGUGUUCUAACUCACGCUGGCAGAAGAGCUUGGUAGAUUCAUCCGAUACAAUAUGUAUCCAGUGAAGGGACUGGUUUGCUUCGUCUCCAUAGUACAUACCGUCAUGACCUUAAAAUUUACAGCUCUGACGAGGGACGUGUUCAGAUGUCUGCAGCUGCUUUUGCUAAAGGUCUACUUGACCUAGAAGGACAGCUGACGCCAAUCCUGGUUUUCCCUUCUUAAUAUUAUAUUGCUGGUGCUUAAUUUGCAAUGUCAUCAUGUGUUUACUAAUAACUAGACAUUUUUCCUGGGCUACGCCCGGGGUUAUAAAAAUAUAAAUGUAUUUAAUAUGAUAACGCACAUAUAUUGCAUCCUUUGCUGAAAUAAUAAAUCAUAUAUUGAAUUAGAAAAAAGUAAAACUGACAAUUUAUCAUUUUUACUAUCUAAAAAUACAUAUAGAAAGAUCAACAAAUGUGAAAUGAAUAAAGAAUAGUUAAAUCUAAAUUAUGAUCCAAAUAUUUUUUUAUUUUAUAUAUUGGAUUAUCAUGAAAACAAAUUAUUAAUCAUAGAUAAAGUUUAUCUGGUUAGGAUAGAAAUAAACCAUGUAUUACACGUGUAAAAUCUGAGAACAUAUUGUAUCACUAUUCUAACAUAGUAGAUGUUGAAAGAUUUAUAUUUUUUUGCUUGAAAUCAGUGAGCUUGAACUAUUUAUUAACAAUGAAGUUUUAAGUAGCAGUAUUAGAAAUUUUAUAUGGUAUUUAAAAUUAAUAUGAGUUGAUGCCGCUUGCAAUGAUGUUUUGAUGACUGCUACCCAUUAUAGAACAAUCCUCAAAAAGUCUGCCAAAAGACCUCAAAAGCUUACAUCAACAUUUUGUUUAAUGCUAAAUUUGAAGUGUUUUUAAAUUUUAAAACUAUUAUUAAUAAUUGUAAAACAGAUUUUAUAAAUUGUUUUAUGAAAAGAAAGUUUUCUAUCAUUUAUUUUCACAUUUAUUUUGGUUCGUUACCAGUGAUUAUUAAUUUGAUUAUCUUCUUUAGGAGUAUGUUCAUAAUUUUAUGCAUAAAUAUCUUCUUUAUGAUCAAUCCAUGUUCAGCGUUUGCAUUUCUGAGUUUCUUUGCAACCAAAUUUUCUUUGUUUUUAAUUCGCUUAUAGCCAUUAAUUAGGCUAUAAACAAACAAACCUAUUUUAUUUUUGUUUGUUAUUUUUAAUCGAUUUGUUAUUUGAUGUUGUUUAGAAAUUUUUGUGAUUUAUUAAUCUAGAUGGAAGUGAUGACUUAAUUUUUGGGUAUGUGUGUAUAUCAGAUGGGUUUGAUAAAUUUUACUUUUUUGGUAAUUAUAUUGUAUUUUAGGUGAGCAAUUAGAGUAGAAAAUAUUUGACUAUAAGCUAAUUGUGGAUAUGUUUUAUUUGUUUCUUUUUGUUCUUUUUCUAGUGUUUAAUGUGAUAUGUAUUAUUUUAUUGUUGAUAUUUCAUCUUAAAAAUAUAGUUCUACAUUUUGUGCUACUCGGUGGUGUUUUCGGUUUGGUUGUGUCCCAGAACAUAGGAGAUGCUGUCCAAGAUAGAGGAUCUCUUCGUCUAAAGAAUAUACUUAGCAAUAUAAAUGCUUGGCAUCUUUCAAAAUGAUGUAGUGUUACAUUUGAGAAUAAAUAAAAACAGCUUUAGUUGUAAUAUCAGAUGCCAUUUGACAAUAUAAAUUUUUCAUAAAUAGUUUCAAAAAUAUAUAGAAACAAUUAUUCAUCUAAAAUUUGCUUGCUUUCUCUCGUCUUUCAUUGUCACUGCUUAAUAAAAUUUAUAGAGAAAAUAUAUUUUCGGAGCAAUUCUGGUCACAGUGGUUUACAAAAAGAACAUUGGUUGUCCCAAAAAAAAAGGACAUUGGUUUUUCUCCUUUUGCCUCUUUAAUACAAAUACGUUAACAUGUUCUCUGUUUUGCUUUUGUCUCUUUGCUACCCCAGUGAUUAGAUGAAUUAUUUUUUCUUUAUGUGAUCUUUGUAGUGAAUAAGAUCUGGAAUCUCCAUCAUUGUUUGUUAGUUAUAAUUAUAACAUAUCGGUACUUUGCGAAAUGAAUCUUGUUCACCCUAACACAUCACCUCAUUUCGCAAAAUGAAUCUUGUUCUUUUGGUGAUAGACAUUGUGUUAGAAAGAACAAUUUUUUUACUUCAACUACACUCUACAAACAAAAGACAUAAAAACCAAAAUUUUGAGAGAUUAUUCAAGUUUCUGAAUAGUUGUAGGAUCUCAUUCUUGAUCCUAUCCCUGAAACAUUCUCGUUUUUUUCUGUAUAAAUUGAAUAGUUAAACCAAGAAGUAGGAUCUCAUUCUUGAUCCUAUCCCUGAAACAUUCUCGUUUUUUUCUGUAUAAAUUGAACUUGUGCAUAUCCAAAUCAAUCUCAAAGUAAUUUGGUCCUGUCCAAAUGAUCAACACACACAUCAACAGUAGCACAGAGCCUGAAAAUUAAAUGUGCGAUUAGCUAUUGAAAACUAAAUGAAAGAUUUGUAAUCCAUCCCAAAUUCAAUAUCAGAAUAACUAUCGUUGUAAGUUGUGAAAAAAAAAUUAGUAGAGCUUAGCUGAAGACUCUGAUAUUCACCAAACCAGCCAUCAUCUUCGACCUUUCUCUAAAUGAAACUGUAGAUUUUCUUCUGAAUCAUUUUACUUUCUCCAUUUUUUCAUACAUAAAUCUCUACAAAAAAAAAGAAUAUGG
Long non-coding RNA from Brassica rapa (field mustard), 3163 nucleotides. RefSeq lists it as uncharacterized. The record is from RefSeq and is a predicted model, not a curated record. Lineage: Eukaryota; Viridiplantae; Streptophyta; Magnoliopsida; Brassicales; Brassicaceae.